Molecule: transfer RNA, 74 nt
Filed under: Pteropus alecto (black flying fox)
Lineage: Eukaryota; Metazoa; Chordata; Mammalia; Chiroptera; Pteropodidae
Rfam family: tRNA
About the family: Transfer RNA (tRNA) molecules are approximately 80 nucleotides in length. Their secondary structure includes four short double-helical elements and three loops (D, anti-codon, and T loops).
Source: Rfam by way of RNAcentral
GGCUCCACAGUGUAGUGGUUAGCACGUCUGCUUUACACGCAGAAGGUCCUGGGUUCGCGCCCCAGGUGGAGCCA